Molecule: ribosomal RNA, 253 nt
Filed under: uncultured bacterium
Lineage: Bacteria
Description: partial 16S ribosomal RNA
Rfam family: Bacterial small subunit ribosomal RNA
Source: RNAcentral
UACGGAGGGUACGAGCGUUGUUCGGAAUCACUGGGCUUAAAGGGCGUGUAGGCGGAACGCAGGGUGUUGGGUGAAAUCCCCGGGCUCAACCCGGGAACUGCCCGGCAAACCGGCGUUCUUGAGGCAGGUAGAAGUGACUGGAACGAUGGGUGGAGCGGUGAAAUGCGUAGAUAUCCAUUGGAACGCCGGUGGCGAAAGCGGGUCACUAGGCCUGUCCUGACGCUGAUACGCGAAAGCGUGGGUAGCAAACAGG